AUGGCGGGCCCAGCGGCGUCGUUGAGGUUCACGGUGAGGAGGAAGGCGGCCGAGCUGGUGACGCCGGCGGGGCCGACGCCCCGGGAGCUGAAGCGGCUCUCGGACAUCGAUGACCAGGACGGUCUGCGGUUCCACAUCCCCGUCAUCCAGUUCUACCGGCGCGACGCGUCCAUGGGCGGCAGGGACCCAGCGGCAGUGGUCCGGGACGCCGUGGCCAGGGCGCUCGUGCACUACUACCCGUUCGCCGGCCGGCUGAGGGAGCUCGAAGGGCGCAAGCUCGCCGUCGACUGCACCGGCGAGGGCGUGCUGUUCAUCGAGGCCGACGCCGACGUGCGUCUGGAGCACUUCGGCGACGCCCUGCAGCCGCCCUUCCCGGGACUCGAGGAGCUCAUCUUCGACGUCCCCGGGUCGUCCGAAGUCCUCGGCACUCCACUCCUCCUCUUCCAGGUGACACGCCUGGCGUGUGGAGGCUUCAUCCUGGCGGUGCGGCUGAUGCACACGAUGGCGGACGCGCAGGGGCUGGUGCAGUUCCUGGCCGCCGUGGCGGAACUGGCGCGAGGCGCGGCGGCGCCGUCGGUGCGGCCGGUGUGGGAGCGGGAGCUGCUGGAGGCGCGGAACCCGCCGCGCCCUGGCUUCGCGCACCGGGAGUACGACGAGGUGCCGGACACCAAGGGCACCAUCGUGCCGCUCGACGACAUGGCGCACCGCUCCUUCUUCUUUGGGGCCCGGGAGGUCGCCGCCAUCCGGUCCCACCUGGCGCCGGGCCUCAGGAAGCGCGCCACCACGUUCGAGGUCCUCACGGGAAGCCUGUGGAAGUGCCGUACCGUGGCGCUGGCCCCCGACGCUGACGAGGUGAUGCGGAUGAUCUGCAUCGUCAACGCCCGCGGCGGCAAGCAGGGCGGUGCGAGCGCUAUCCCGGCCGGCUACUACGGGAACGCGUUCGCCUUCCCGGUGGCCGUGUCGGCCUCCGGCGACCUGUGCGCGAACCCCCUGAGCUACGCCGUGAAGCUGGUGAAGGAGGCCAAGUCGGAGGUGGACGUGGAGUACAUGCGGUCGGUGGCGGACCUGAUGGUGCAGCGCGGGCGGCCGCACUUCACGGUGGUGCGCGCGUACCUGGCGUCGGACGUGACCAAGGCCGGGUUCGGCGACCUGGACUUCGGGUGGGGCAGGCCGGUGUACGGCGGGCCGGCAAAGGGCGGCGUGGGCGCCAUCCCCGGGGUGGCCAGCUUCCUGAUCCCGUUCAAGAACGGCAAGGGCGAGGACGGCAUCGUGAUCCCCAUGUGCCUGCCUGGGCCCGCCAUGGACAAGUUCGUGGAGGAGAUGGGCAAGCUGCUGCGCCCGGCCGUCGACGUCCCCGACAUGUUCCCCGCCAUGAUCAAAUCUGCGCUCUGA
RNAcentral lists this ribosomal RNA (1392 nucleotides) under Triticum aestivum (bread wheat). Its description in RNAcentral is "partial small subunit ribosomal RNA". Lineage: Eukaryota; Viridiplantae; Streptophyta; Magnoliopsida; Poales; Poaceae. The record is from RNAcentral.